Molecule: ribosomal RNA, 497 nt
Filed under: uncultured bacterium
Lineage: Bacteria
Description: partial 16S ribosomal RNA
Rfam family: Bacterial small subunit ribosomal RNA
Source: RNAcentral
GAUGAACGCUGGCGGCGUGCCUAAUACAUGCAAGUCGAGCGAACAGACGAGGAGCUUGCUCCUCUGACGUUAUCGGCGGACGGGUGAGUAACACGUGUAUAACCUACCUAUAAUACUUGUAUAACUUCGGGAAACCUUAGCUAAUACCGUAUAAUAUCUUGAACCGCAUGGUUCUAUAGUUCAAUUCGUUUUUGCUGUCACUUAUAGAUUGAUCCGCGCCGCAUUUGCUAGUUGGUAAGGUAACGGCUUACCAAGGCAACGAUGCGUAGCCGACCUGAGAGGGUGAUAGGCAAAACUGGAAGUGAGACACGGACCAGAAGCCUACGGGAGGCAGCAGUAGGGAAUAUUACGCAAUGGGCGAAAGCAUGACGGAGCAACGCCGCGUGAGAGAUGAAGGACUUAGGAUCGUAAAACUCUGUUAUUAGGGAAGAAAAAAAGUGUAAGAAAAGAUGCACGUAAUGACGGUAACUAAAAAGAAAGCAACGGCUAACUACGUG